AAAGUGGAAGAGCACGUCGUCGAAGGGCAUAUUUUCGAGGUCGAGAGAUCAUACGAAAUGGUGUCCCCAGUGCGACACAAAACCUGUUAUGGAAUGAAAGGGCUAUACGAAGGGAAAGAGAGAAGAAACUAAAAGAAUUCAAGUCUUUUAAGAUGUCACCUAACAUUAGUGUUGCUAGUUUUAUACAUCUGUUUGAGAUGAAACGUGUAGAACUAGAAAACUAUGU
Molecule: long non-coding RNA, 226 nt
Filed under: Capsicum annuum
Lineage: Eukaryota; Viridiplantae; Streptophyta; Magnoliopsida; Solanales; Solanaceae
Description: long non-coding RNA (CANN_LNC018335)
Source: RNAcentral